RNAcentral lists this non-coding RNA (189 nucleotides) under Dethiosulfatarculus sandiegensis. Lineage: Bacteria; Pseudomonadati; Thermodesulfobacteriota; Desulfarculia; Desulfarculales; Desulfarculaceae. The record is from RNAcentral.
AGCAUAGAUAGUGGAGUCGGUGCCCUCUGGGCUUAAUAGGGAAGACGGUGAAAUUCCGUCACGGUCCCGCCGCUGUAACCGGGGACAAAAUCCGCAAUUAAAGUCACUCUUUCCUUUCAGGGAAAGGGGAAGACGCGGAAAGUAGGCUGAACCGGAAGUCAGAAGACCUGCCCACCCACAAACCUGAAU